UACAGAGGUGGCAAGCGUUGUUCGGAAUUACUGGGCGUAAAGGGCGCGUAGGCGGCCUUGUAAGUCCUGUGUGAAAUCCCCCGGCUCAACUGGGGAACUGCACAGGAGACUGCUUGGCUUGAGUUCGGGAGAGGGAAGCGGAAUUCCGGGUGUAGCGGUGAAAUGCGUAGAGAUCAGGAGGAACACCCGUGGCGAAGGCGGCCCUCUGGCUCGACCCUGACGCUGAGAGGCGAAAGCGUGGGGAGCGAACGGG
RNAcentral lists this ribosomal RNA (253 nucleotides) under uncultured bacterium. RNAcentral's name for it is "partial 16S ribosomal RNA". It matches the Rfam family "Bacterial small subunit ribosomal RNA", at positions 524 to 776 of the family's 1533-position model. The record is from RNAcentral.